CAGUAGCCGCGGUAAUACGAAGGGGGCUAGCGUUGCUCGGAAUUACUGGGCGUAAAGGGCGCGUAGGCGGAUAGUUAAGUCAGAGGUGAAAGCCCAGGGCUCAACCUUGGAACUGCCUUUGAUACUGGCUAUCUUGAGUUCGGGAGAGGUGUGUGGAACUCCGAGUGUAGAGGUGAAAUUCGUAGAUAUCCGGAAGAACACCAGUGGCGAAGGCGACACACUGGCCCGAUACUGACGCUGAGGCGCGAAAGCGUGGGGAGCAAACAGGAUUAGAUACCCCCGUAGUCCCUGUCUCUUAUAC
This 301-nucleotide ribosomal RNA is filed under the name uncultured bacterium. Its description in RNAcentral is "partial 16S ribosomal RNA". It matches the Rfam family "Bacterial small subunit ribosomal RNA", at positions 509 to 807 of the family's 1533-position model. The record is from RNAcentral.